RNAcentral lists this unclassified non-coding RNA (178 nucleotides) under soil metagenome. Its description in RNAcentral is "partial internal transcribed spacer 1". The record is from RNAcentral.
CACAAUAAACAUAUGAAGGCUGCACCGCCAACAGGCGGCAAGGCUGGAGUAUUUUAUUACCCUUGUCUUUUGCGCACUUGUUGUUUCCUGGGCGGGUUCGCCCGCCUCCAGGACCACAUGAUAAACCUUUUUUUAUGCAGUUGCAAUCAGCGUCAGUACAACAAAUGUAAAUCAUUUA